UGGCGGCGCGUCUUAAGCAUGCAAGUCGAGCGGGAUUAUCCAGCUUGCUGGAUAUGAGAGCGGCGGACUGGUGAGUAACGCGUGGGUGACGUGCCCUUCUGCCGGGAUAGCCGGUAGAAAUACCGGAUAAUACCGGAUGAGCUCCGCGGCGCUGGAGGCCGCGGAGGAAAGGAGCUAUUGUCCGCGGAAGGAGCGGCCCGCGUCCCAUCAGCUAGUUGGCGGGGAAAAGGCCCACCAAGGCGAUGACGGGUACCCGGCCUCAGAGGGCGACCGGGCACAUUGGGACUGAGAUACGGCCCAGACUCCUACGGGAGGCAGCAGCUAAGAAUAUUCCGCAAGUGGGGGAAACCCUGACGGAGCGACGCCGCGUGGACGACGAAGGCCGGAAGGUUGUAAAGUCCUUUUGUGGCUGAGGAAGAAGGGCAGGUCGGAAGCCUGUCCGGUGACUGUAGGCCAUGAAUAAGCACCGGCUAAUUACGUGCCAGCCGCCGC
Molecule: ribosomal RNA, 492 nt
Filed under: uncultured bacterium
Lineage: Bacteria
Description: bacterial SSU rRNA
Rfam family: Bacterial small subunit ribosomal RNA
Source: RNAcentral